AACGCGAAGAACCUUACCUACCUUUGAAUCCACGGAAUCCUAUAGAGAUAUGGGAGUGCCUUCGGGAACCGUGAGACAGGUGCUGCAUGGCUGUCGUCAGCUCGUGUCGUGAGAUGUUGGGUUAAGUCCCGUAACGAGCGCAACCCUUAUCCUUAGUUACCAGCAUGUAAAGAUGGGUACUUUAAGGAGACUGCCGGUGAUAAACCGGAGGAAGGUGGGGAUGACGUCAAGUCCUCAUGGCCCUUACAGGUAGGGCUACACACGUGCUACAAUGGGCGGUACAAAGGGUAGCCAACCCGCGAGGGGGAGCCAAUCCCAAAAAGCCGUUCGUAGUCCGGAUUGGAGUCUGCAACUCGACUCCAUGAAGUUGGAAUCGCUAGUAAUCGUGGAUCAGCACGCCACGGUGAAUACGUUCCCGGGCCUUGUACACACCGAGUAUA
RNAcentral lists this ribosomal RNA (440 nucleotides) under uncultured bacterium. RNAcentral describes it as "bacterial SSU rRNA". It matches the Rfam family "Bacterial small subunit ribosomal RNA", at positions 958 to 1398 of the family's 1533-position model. The record is from RNAcentral.